RNAcentral lists this ribosomal RNA (434 nucleotides) under uncultured bacterium. RNAcentral describes it as "bacterial SSU rRNA". It matches the Rfam family "Bacterial small subunit ribosomal RNA", at positions 29 to 507 of the family's 1533-position model. The record is from RNAcentral.
AACGAACGCUGGCGGCAGGCUUAACACAUGCAAGUCGAACGGGUGUAGCAAUACAUCAGUGGCAGACGGGUGAGUAACACGUGGGAACCUUCCUAGGGGUACGGAACAACUCAGGGAAACUUGAGCUAAUACCGUAUACGUCCGUGAGGAGAAAGAUUUAUCGCCCUUAGACGGGCCCGCGUCGGAUUAGCUAGUUGGUGGGUAACGGCUUACCAAGGCGACGAUCCGUAGCUGAUCUUAGAGGAUGAUCAGCCACACUGGGACUGAGACACGGCCCAGACUCCUACGGGAGGCAGCAGUGGGGAAUCUUGGACAAUGGGCGCAAGCCUGAUCCAGCCAUGCCGCGUGAGUGAAGAAGGUCUUCGGAUUGUAAAGCUCUUUUGCCAGGGACGAUAAUGACGGUACCUGGAGAAUAAGCCCCGGCAAACUUCGUG